Molecule: long non-coding RNA, 1184 nt
Organism: Piliocolobus tephrosceles (Ugandan red Colobus)
Lineage: Eukaryota; Metazoa; Chordata; Mammalia; Primates; Cercopithecidae
Source: Ensembl
GCGCGCUCCCCCCUAGGGUUCCGGAUGGUGAGCGGCGAAGGUAAGGCGAGCUCGCAGAGGCAUCGGCGGCGGCGGCGGAGACGGAGAGAGGCAGGCAGGCAGGGCGAGGGCGAGAGACGGAGGGAGGGAGCGAGCGAGGCGGACCAGACAGACAGACAGGCGGGCGGGCGGGCAGAGCGAGCCACCCGCCAGGCUGCGCUCAGCCCCGCUCGCAGCGGAGAGAGCAGAAGGCAGGAGGAGGGAGGGGAGGAGGAGGAGGGAGGGAGAGAGGGAAUCCAGCUACCACCACCCAAAGCCAGCGUCUGCUUUCUGUCCUCAUUUCCUUUUCCCACCCAGCUUGGAGAGCAGAGAAAGGCAGAGAGAGCGAGAAAUAGAGACAGUCUGAGAGACAGACAGACAGCCAGAGAGAGCGGGAGGGAGGAGGGCGGAGGAGGAGGAGCAGGAGGACUACGCGGGGCGCGUUCCCUCCCAGGUUUGCAAUUGGGGGGGUGGGGGCGGGGGUGUCCAGGGCUGGGAGAGUGUGUGCGCGGCGGGAGGGCGAGGGGAGCGCAGAGAGAGCGAAGGAGUGAUCGAGGUGGGGGGGCGCCGCGGGAGCGGGGGGCCGUGUCCAGCGGAGUUAGCGGCGGAGAAUGUGAGCCGAGGCGCGAGCCAUGCUGUCAGCGACGGCGGGCGGCUCAGGGCUCCUCCACGACUCCUCUCCUCAGCAGCCGGGCGCCCGCGUCGCUGCCACCGCCGGAAGACAGACGCCCCCUAAAACCCCUCGCCUGGCUCGGACCCACGGAGCCGGCAGCCCAGCACUCCGAUGGGAGCUUGCCUGAUUGUCAAGCCAUCGGCCUGGACCCCAGAGCCUACCCAGCUGAGCAUGUGCAGAGGGCCCCGAGUGCGGGGCGACGCUCAGGCCAUUACAGAGACCACCCUGGAGAUGCUGAUGAAGACAGGCCUUUCCUGCUGAGCCGGGCCUGUCUGCACAGCCUGCUCAGGCGCUGUCCACGCCCCGAGGCCUGGGCUCAGGCCGAAGUUGCUCCACAGCACCCCCAGCUGACAGCCAGCGACUGGCAGAGCCCCCAGGCACGGGGGCCCUCUCUCUUCCAGAGAUCUACAGUGUGACAGCCCAGGCGGCAGAGCCGAGGGUCCUGGUCCCGGCUUCUCGCACCCUCAUGUCAGCCCCGGCCCCGCCCGGCGGC